This 111-nucleotide ribosomal RNA is filed under the name uncultured eukaryote. RNAcentral describes it as "partial small subunit ribosomal RNA". It matches the Rfam family "Eukaryotic small subunit ribosomal RNA", at positions 1676 to 1785 of the family's 1831-position model. The record is from RNAcentral.
UCGCUACUACCGAUUGGACGUUUUGGUGAGGUUCAGGGACUGUCGCGAGCUCGGAUUCGUCCAGGCCAGCAUGCAGGAACUGAAACAAACCUGAGCGUCUAGAGGAAGUAA